UACAGAGGAGCCAAGCGUUGUCCGGAUUGACUGGGCGUAAAGCGCACGCAGGCGGAUGCGCGAGUGGGGUGUGAAAUCUGGCCGCUUAACGGCCAGGCGCCAUCCCAUACGGCGCGUCUGGAGUGAUGCAGAGGUCGGUGGAAUUGCCGGUGUAGUGGUGAAAUGCGUAGAGAUCGGCAGGAAGGCCAGUGGCGAAGGCGAGUCUCUAGACAGUAACUGACGCUGAGGCACGAAGGCCAGGGGAGCAAACGGG
This 253-nucleotide ribosomal RNA is filed under the name uncultured bacterium. RNAcentral describes it as "partial 16S ribosomal RNA". It matches the Rfam family "Bacterial small subunit ribosomal RNA", at positions 524 to 776 of the family's 1533-position model. The record is from RNAcentral.